Molecule: ribosomal RNA, 465 nt
Filed under: uncultured bacterium
Lineage: Bacteria
Description: partial 16S ribosomal RNA
Rfam family: Bacterial small subunit ribosomal RNA
Source: RNAcentral
CCUACGGGAUGCAGCAGUAGGGAAUCUUCCACAAUGGGCGAAAGCCUGAUGGAGCAACGCCGCGUGGGUGAAGAAGGUCUUCGGAUCGUAAAACCCUGUUGUUAGAGAAGAAAGUGCGUGAGAGUAACUGUUCACGUUUCGACGGUAUCUAACCAGAAAGCCACGGCUAACUACGUGCCAGCAGCCGCGGGAAUACGUAGGUGGCAAGCGUUAUCCGGAUUUUUUGGGCGUAAAGGGAACGCAGGGGGUCUUUUAAGUCUGAUGUGAAAGCCUUCGGCUUAACCGGAGUAGUGCAUUGGAAACUGGGUGACUUGAGUGCAGAAGAGGAGAGUGGAACUCCAUGUGUAGCGGUGAAAUGCGUAGAUAUAUGGAAGAACACCAAUGGCGAAAGCGGCUCUCUGGUCUGUAACUGACGCUGAGGUUCGAAAGCGUGGGUAGCAAACAGGAUUAGAUACCCUUGUAGUC